RNAcentral lists this ribosomal RNA (435 nucleotides) under uncultured bacterium. RNAcentral describes it as "partial 16S ribosomal RNA". It matches the Rfam family "Bacterial small subunit ribosomal RNA", at positions 28 to 507 of the family's 1533-position model. The record is from RNAcentral.
GAUGAACGCUGGCGGUAUGCUUAACACAUGCAAGUCGAACGGACUCUUCGGAGUUAGUGGCGGACGGGUGAGUAACGCGUGAGAAUCUGGCUUUGGGUUCGGGACAACCACUGGAAACGGUGGCUAAUACCGGAUGUGCCGAGAGGUAAAAGAGAAAUUGCCUGAAGAUGAGCUCGCGUCUGAUUAGCUAGUUGGUGAGGUAAAGGCUCACCAAGGCAGCGAUCAGUAGCUGGUCUGAGAGGAUGACCAGCCACACUGGGACUGAGACACGGCCCAGACUCCUACGGGAGGCAGCAGGGGGGAAUUGUCCGCAAUGGGCGUAAGCCUGACGGAGCAAUACCGCGUGAGGGAAGAAGGCUCUUGGGUUGUAAACCUCUUUUCUUAGGGAAGAACAAAAUGACGGUACCUAAGGAAUCAGCAUCGGCUAACUCCGUG